Molecule: ribosomal RNA, 253 nt
Filed under: uncultured bacterium
Lineage: Bacteria
Description: partial 16S ribosomal RNA
Rfam family: Bacterial small subunit ribosomal RNA
Source: RNAcentral
UCCGGAGGGUGCGAUCGUUGUUCGGAAUCACUGGGCGUAAAGCGCGUGUAGGCGGCUUGGCAAGUCGGGUGUGAAAUCCCGAGGCUCAACCUCGGAACUGCACUCGAAACUGCUUGGCUAGAGUCCCGGAGAGGGUGGCGGAAUUCCCGGUGUAGGGGUGAAAUCCGUAGAUAUCGGGAGGAACACCAGUGGCGAAGGCGGCCACCUGGACGGUGACUGACGCUGAGACGCGAAAGCGUGGGGAGCAAACAGG